UCAACCAUAGGAAGUGGCCAAAGGAGGAAGCAGGAGUUUGUGGGUCCAGUGUGGAGGAGACAAAGACUGAACUGCUGUUCCACACCUUUAGAACACUUUAGUUCCUGGAUAAUGUUAUUAGCUUUCAAGCAUGUGCUGCAUCCCGAGAGAUCUGUUGACUUCCAGUCUGACCAAAUUCUUUCACGUCGUGGCGUGUACGAUGUAUAAACGUUUUGGAAUGCCUCUGAGAUGACUUCUGCAGUUACUUUCCAUUAGUGGUUGUGGAAGUCAGAAUUGUAAAACGACACUCAAGUUUCCCGCCCACUGGUGUACAUGCUUUAUAUAAUUCCCUGCACUGGAGUGUGGGUAGGAUUCGUGACUAUGAUGGGAUAUCACUGCCAUGAUUGGGCUACGGAAUACUUGACUUUCAGUUAAUCUAAAGGGAGAUUAUUCUGGGUGUGCCUGCCCUAAUCAGCUGGACCUUUAGCAAGAUGGUGAAGCACCACAGAAACAUGAUAGCGGGCCUGGCCUGGAAGAAAGAAACCACCGAGUUGUGAACUGCUAUGGAAGGGGCUCAUGGUUAGCAUAUGAAAGUGGCUCUUGGAGCUGAAAGUGGUCCCUGACUAAUGGCCAGUAAGAAAGUGGGGACUUCAUCUCUACAACUCCAAGGAACUGAAUUCUGCUCACAACCUGAAUGACCAUGGCAAGAGGACCAUGAGCUUCAGAUGAAAUCACAGCCCCAGCCACACCAUAUUUCAGCCUGGUGACACCCUGAGUAGAGGACUCAACUAACCUGUACCUAGACUCCUGACACACAGAAACUGUGAGAUACAUUAGUUUUCAUUUAAGUCAUUAAAUCACUGAUAAUUUGUUAGGCAGCAAUAGACAGCAGAUAACGUGAGGUUU
Rhinopithecus roxellana (golden snub-nosed monkey) is the source of this 885-nucleotide long non-coding RNA. RefSeq lists it as uncharacterized. The record is from RefSeq and is a predicted model, not a curated record. NCBI's taxonomy places the organism in Eukaryota, Metazoa, Chordata, Mammalia, Primates, Cercopithecidae. The transcript has 3 exons.